This 86-nucleotide transfer RNA is filed under the name Candidatus Contendibacter sp. Its description in RNAcentral is "Candidatus Contendobacter sp. tRNA-Leu". It matches the Rfam family "tRNA". From Rfam's summary of the family: Transfer RNA (tRNA) molecules are approximately 80 nucleotides in length. Lineage: Bacteria; Pseudomonadati; Pseudomonadota; Gammaproteobacteria; Candidatus Competibacteraceae. The record is from RNAcentral.
GCCGGGAUGGCGGAAUGGUAGACGCAGUGGACUCAAAAUCCACCGGUAGCGAUACCGUGCGAGUUCGAGUCUCGCUCCCGGCACCA